GUUACAGAGAAGACAAUUCAAUCGUAUAUUUGAGUUAGGAUAAGAAUACACCUAUGGCAGUGAAGAUAAGAUAGUCUAUAUUUUGGAACUUAGCCUGUGUGUUACCCCAAAGACAUGUCAGUGUUACUGGAAAGACAUUUCAGAUCAAGUUGAUGGAAGA
This is a long non-coding RNA of Haliotis rubra (blacklip abalone), 160 nucleotides long. RefSeq lists it as uncharacterized. The record is from RefSeq and is a predicted model, not a curated record. The transcript has 2 exons. Lineage: Eukaryota; Metazoa; Mollusca; Gastropoda; Lepetellida; Haliotidae.